UGGAUAAUGAUACGUUUACACCCCUGUACCACUCAUUUACCACCCAUUCCACGUGUCUUGUUUAUUUUUUUUUUCAACUCUGUUGCUGCCGGUUACUUUUUACAAAUUUUCUCUUUGUAAUGAUGUGAUUUUCUUGCUUGUGUCAGACUACUUCUGCCGUAUAGAAUAAAAUUUCAUUUUGAAAUUCAAAUCUCCCACGGUUUAUUUUCAUUUUCGUUGGGCUCUCACUAACGCAGGCUAAGAACGAACAUCCCAGCGUCCUCUCCCCUUCAAGUCGCGACUCUUGCGGUGUGGCCAUCAGACAACGGCGCCUUCAAAGGUCAAUAAAGGAGAUAGAAGGAAGAGGACAUCAAGUACAAAUUCAUAAUGAAGCACACAAAAUGAAGUCCAAACCAUCUUUGAUAUUUUGCUGGUUUUUUGUCAAAAAUAUCGUAUAUGAUGUUGGACUUUGAUUACUAGUGGCUAUAUGGCCUUGUUAUCCAAGUUCCUUAGUGACGCCUGUAUGGCCUUGUUUUUUUAGCUUGAUGUGUGUCUCACUGACAAAAGUAGUAUUUAUUCUCUUGUUCUGUUUUUUUGCCCUGACAGUUUCUCUUUGAUGCCAAAUUCAAUAUGUAUGGUAUUUGACAAAAAUGAGAUGAGGAUUAUGCUUAUUGUA
This is a long non-coding RNA of Carya illinoinensis, 655 nucleotides long. RefSeq lists it as uncharacterized. NCBI's taxonomy places the organism in Eukaryota, Viridiplantae, Streptophyta, Magnoliopsida, Fagales, Juglandaceae. The transcript is spliced from 2 exons. The record is from RefSeq and is a predicted model, not a curated record.